GGAGACGAAUGGUCGUGUGUGCGGAGAAAAGUAAAUUUGAAAAAAGAAAACUAAAGAAACACUCGUAAAAAUUUUGCCCCAAUAACUUUCGUGUAGACGUGCUAAGUUAUAAAUUAAACAAAAACCGACUGGUUUGCUACAGCCCAAUUAAAGUCUUCCCAAUAAAUUUGUGCAAGUGAAUUAAACAGCUGUACGUGACUCCCUUUUUCCCUCUCACACAUUGUGUGUGACUCUGCGUAAGUGUGCGUGCAUGAGUGCCUGUGGGUGCAUUUGUUUAUUCCAACCGCCAAAUACGAUUUCUUGCUAGAACUUGCCUCGCGUUGCGUUGCUGGGCGGUGCUGUCAUUACCCCACCCACCCCUCAUUAGCACAUUGUGCAAAAAAUAAAGAAAAUCGAAACUCCCGCACAUAAACUGGAUGAUGAGUAGCAACGACAAAACGAAAACAAAAACAACGGUACACAAAGGAAACUGAAUUAAAGCAUAACAAGAAAUUGCGGUUAAAUACUUGACACGAAUAUUUAUUCAAAAUAGACCAAAAACUUUGUAAAUAUAUAAAUGUGUGUGUUUUUGUACUUUUACAUAACGAAAUUCGCGUCGCACAACAUUGAAAAUAACUGUUUACCAAAUAGUUAAGCAAUUUGUAUACAAAAAAUAAAUAAAAAUAAACGAAAAUAAAUAAAAAAACACAAAACCCAAUUUGAGCUUAAACUUAACUGUAAACAUAUUAUGCACAUUGUUUUUACGUCUUGUGCCCACUGUGCCGAGCUGUAAACAUAUUCAAGAGCAAUAUACAAAAGUGCUUCACAUUUGGCUGGAUAUUUAAAAACAAAAAAAAAUAAAAAUAACAGAAAUCGUCAUUCGAGCUAAAAUGUAAACUGUAUAAGUUUAUAAAUUGAACAAUAACAAAAAAAUGGUUGUAAUUUAGAUAAUAUACAAUUCACGGACUCGGAAAACGAAUUGAACUUGAUUUGAAAAUAGUUAUUGCAGCAGCAGCGUUGGUGGCAUCAGCUCAGCUGCUAAUCGAGUACAAUAA
This is a long non-coding RNA of Drosophila hydei, 1034 nucleotides long. RefSeq lists it as uncharacterized. Lineage: Eukaryota; Metazoa; Arthropoda; Insecta; Diptera; Drosophilidae. The record is from RefSeq and is a predicted model, not a curated record. The transcript is spliced from 2 exons.